UGGCUGUACCAUUUUACAUUCCUACAAGCAGUGCACAAAAGUUCCAAUUUCUUUGCAUCCUCACCAACACUUGUUAUUUUCUGUUUUGUUUUGUUGUUUGUUUGUUUUUGAUAGCAUCCAUCCUAAUGGGUGUUAGGGUUCUUUUUAAUUAAACUUUUUAUUUUGUAAUAAUUGUAGUCACAUGCAGUUAUAAGAAAUAAUAGAGAUUCCCUUCGUUUGGUUCCCAUCCCCCAGCUUUCACCAGUGAUGACAUCUUGUAAUAGUAAUAAUAGCUACAGCCUGGAAAUUGACAUUGAUACAAUCCACCAGUCUACUUCAGAUUUCAGCAGUUUGCAUGAUUUUUUAAACAGGUGAAUCUGAUCAUAUCACUUCCCUGUUUAAAACUUUUCUAAGUAUGUUCAUUGCAUCAUUGUUUUAAUUAUUUAAAAAAUAAAAUAAAAAUUAGAAACAAUCCGAAAUGUUCAGCAACAGAGAAACGGUUUAAUUGAUUACAUUACAUUCUUAUAAUAGGCAUAUAAUGCAGCCAUUAAAAAGAACAUAGCGGGCUUCCCUGGUGGCGCAGUGGUUGAGAGUCCGCCUGCUGAUGCAGGGGACACAGGUUCGUGUUCUGGUCCGGGAGGAUCCCACAUGCUGCGGAGCGGCUGGGCCCAUGAGCCAUGGCCGCUGAGCCUGCGCGUCCGGAGCGUGUGCUCCGCAACGGGAGAGGCCACAACAGUGAGAGGCCCGCGUACAGCAAAAAAAAAAAAAAAAAAAAAAAAAAAGAACAUAGUAACCGUAUAUAUACUGAUAUAGACUAGUUCCUGUGGUCCAUUAUUUUGCUACUGAGAAGAUCCAGGUGCAGAAUAGUGAGUACCUUUUGGGUAUAAAGACAGAGAAUGUAGGGAAGGAUAGGUAAGACAUUGUCCACAGCAGUGGUCUUUGGAGAGAAGCAAACAGUAGGCUGAGAUUCAGGAGUGAGAUGAAGACAUUCACUUUGUUUUGCAGCGGUUCUCAGACUUUUUAAUUUUGGACCCUUUUAUACUCAAAAUUAUUGAGGACUCCAAAGCACUUUUAUUAAUGAGGGCUAUUAGAAAUUAAGACUAAGAAAAAUUUUAAAUAUUUAUAUAUUAAUUCAUUUAAAAAUAACUAUAAUAAACCAAUUAUAUAUUAAUGUAAAGAACAUAUUUUUAUGAAAAGAAACUAUUUUUUCCAAAACAAAAAAAUUUAGUGAGAAGAAUGGCUUUGUUUUGCAUUUUUUGAGAGCCUCUUUAAUCCCUGGCUUAAUAGAAAACAGCUUGAUUCUCAUAUCUGCUUCUGCAUUCACUCUAUUGCAAUGCAUUUUUUUGGUUGAAGUAAGUGAAGAAAACUCAGUGUCACAAAGAUAUAUAGCUAGAAAAAGGAGGAAACUUCUAAUAGCCUUUUGUGGUUAUUCUUUUCUGAUAGCACAUCAAAAUUCGACAAGUGGCAUUUUCUUAAAGGUUAGUUGCAAUGUAAAUCUGAAACCAUAGCAAGAACAUUUUUCAUACUCUGUUACCUUAAAAUCUAUUGUCUUGUCUUGCACUUUGAAUGAAUCUUUUAUAUGUGCAUGACUUUGUAACAUCAUACGUUUGUCAUUUGGAAAAUACUGAUUGAGUUAUACAGAUCUUCCAAAUUUUAACACAUUUAAGUAUACAAUAUUGAAAAAUCACAUUUGUUACUGUCACUACUAAUCUCAUCAGAAAAGCCUUUAAGUACCAGUAAAAGAAAAAACUGCUGUUUUUCACAACACUUAUGAUACCCAAUGUAUGGAUUUUUUUUUUCUACAUCAACCAGUUUUCUAGACACCAACUGACACUAACUACUUGGAGGUACAGCAGACCCCCAGGUUAAGGGCUCAGUCCCACAGACCGCCACCACUUCAGAUGCCAGCUACAAGUCCCAAGUUGUCACUUGUACUGACAACUAAUCAGUUAUUAAGGCUGGGGUUCCCACAACCCCCUUUUAGAGAAUUUGCUAUAAUGGUUCACAGAACUCAAGGAGACACUUAAAUUUACCGGUUUGUUAUAAAGGAUAAAAUAAAGGACAGAGAUAAAAAGCCAGAUAAAGACAUACGUAAAGCAAGAUCUGGGAGGGUCCUGAGUGCAGGAGUUCCAUCCACAUGGAGUUGGGGUGCACCAUCUCCCAGCACAUGGAUAUUUUUACCAACCCAGAAGCUCUCCAAAUCCCUUUGGUUAAGGGAUUUUAUGAAGGCUUCAUUACAGAGGCAAGAUUGAUUAAAUCACUGACCAUUGAUGAUUAAGUCAGCCUCAAGUCCUGCUCUCCUCCCCAGAGGUAAGGGAUGGACCAAAAGAUCCAACUGAAACUGGAGGGAAGGGGGCAGGGCACAACCUUUAAAACAAUGACACAGCCACAGGACAUGACAAAGACUGGUUAGAACUAACUAGAUCCAAGAUGGUGGAAGACUUGACUUCCAGUGGAACUUGAGCCUCAUUAUGUGCUCAUUGUAACAUAUUAGCAUAAGCUAAGUGACACACCCACCAGCACCAUGACAGUUCUGAGGCCAGCCAGGAGUUGAUACUACCCUCCCUAUUAUACAGCUGGAAAAAUUGAGGCCCAGGGAGGUAGAGUAACUUGCUCAAGGUGGGAGCCAGGACUCACAUAUGGUUCUUAAGUCACUGGAGCAGCCAAGGCAUUCUAGGUCAGGACAUUCAAUUCAGAGUGGCAGCCUCAGGGGCCACCAGGGAUCAGGGCAAAACAGCCUGAGGAAGGGAAGAAAACACAGGUGAAGUCUCUGUUUCUUGGAGCCAAGAGCUUCCUUGGAGAGAGUGGGGUGAGCUCUACUUAGUAGAGUCAUCUUGGUCCUAGAAGCUAACGGUAACUUGGGGCAGCAAGUCUCUGGUCACCCUAACCCCUGAGAGGAGUGCCCUGGGAGGGGGAAGGGACCACAGGCUGAUCAAAGGCAGUGGGCACCAAGUGGCCUCAGCCCUCCCAUCUUCCCCCUCGUCCUCCAGGCUCCUGGUGGGAAAGAGCAGUAAGUGCCCAGCCCUGCAGAUUCAAUCAGAGCGAGGAGUGAGGCCAGGCCAGCCUCAGGAGUAUUGCUAGGAGCCCCACUCCUCUCUAGUCUCCCUGACCACCAAAGAUCAAAAAGUGGGCGGUGGCCCAAUUUCUGGAAAUCCCCACCCUUUCCCCAAAAUAACUGGAAUACUCCUCCCACUCAUUAGUCAAUGAAAUUACCCACACUAUAAAAACUGACAACCCCAUACCCUAGCGCUGCUCUCGCCUUCUGAGAUGGCCCACACUCUGUCUGUGGAAUGUGUUUCUCUCUAAAUCCACUUCUUACCUAUCACUUUGUCUCUCACUGAAUUCUUUCUGUGGUGAGACAUCAAGAACCUGAGCUUCAUUAAGUCCUGAGACUAGGUGUGUGAUCUCAGUUAAAAGAAGGUGGGUUCGAGACUUCCCGUAGUGGUCCAGUGGUAGAGAAUCCAUGCUUCCAAUGCAGGAGGUGCAGGUUCGAUCCAUGGUCAGGGAGCUAAGAUCCCACAUCCUGCGUGGUGCAGCCAAAAAAAAGAAAAAGAACAUGAGUUCAAGUCCCAGUCUGGGUUUUGGCUUGCUUCAAAUCCAAGCACGUGGGUUCAAGUCCCAAUCCGAGUUGCACGGUUUCACAGUCCCCUCUAAUCUUAUGAUUAGUUCCUCUGGCAACCAGCCCAGCAUCCUUCAGAAGUCAUCCUAUUAGCAUAAAUUCAGGUGUGGUUGAAAGGGGCUUAUGAUGAAUAACAAAAGACCUUCUCUCACCCCUAUGACUCUGGAACUUCCAAGGGUUAUAGGAGCUCUGUGCAAAUAAAUGGAGGAAAACCAAAUACAUAUUUCUUAUUAUAUCCCAGUUUUGAUGCCAAAAACUCGGCCUCUGUGCUGAAUCGAAUCUUGGAGACAGAGAUUUGGGUGAUGUAGAAAAGGAUAACUUCAUUGCUUUGCCAGGCAAAGGGGGACACAGCAGGCUUGUGUCCCUCAAAACUGUGUGUCCCAGCCUAGGAGGAUUUGGUGAGGAGUUUUAUAGCAAUGGUUCAAGGGCAGGUUGCUGAUAAGGAUUAGGCUGUGUUCAGGGUCUGCACUCAUUUAAUCUGGCCUCAGGUGGUCUCCUUCUAAUGAGCUUCUCUGGUUCCUUUAAUCUGGCCUCAAGCAGUCUCUUGAUGAAGUUCUCAAGGUUAUUAAACUAUGAUCUUCUCCAGAAUGAAGAAUGCUAACAUUUUCCAUUUGUUCAGGGUUUUAGUUCUGUAAAGAGCUCAAAGAGGUGGGGUGGUGGUGUGAUGAACUGGGAGAUUGGGAUUGACAUAUAUACACUAAUAUAUAUAAAAUGGAUAACUAAUAAGAACCUGCUGUAUAAAAAAAUAAAUAAAAUUCAAAAAACAAAAAAUAGAAAGAAAAUAAUCCAAAAAUACAAAGAUGGUUGUACAAGAGUUAAAUGUAGCUUUAAAUGAUAAAAAAAAAAAAAGCACUCAAAAACAUUGUUAUGUAUAACCCUUGAAGCAGAAACAGGACCCUGCCCCAAGGCUGCACUACUGUUUCUUGGCUGCUCCUCCCUUGUCUCUUCAUCCUCUCCCUUCCCUGAUUAGCAACUGUUUGAAAGACUUCCAUGCCCAGGUGGCCCACAGGGUCCUGCUUGGUUUCAGUAUCGCAGUAGGAAGCUGUGAAGCUCACAGUGAUGAAUACAAGUUUUCCAAAAUUCUAACUUUUGCUUGAAAGUUCAAAUUUUACUGUAAGCAACAAAUAGUGUCCGUCGUUUUCCAUGAAGUGACAGGUUCACUACAUUCAUUUUCAAGAAAAUGUCUGUCCAACUAUCAGAGUCUGAAUCAUCAGUGUUUGUCACUCAUUUUUUCAAGUAAAAAUGGUAUUCCAUGAAAACAGCUAGUUCGGCUGGCAACUCAAAGAAUCACACAAGUGCGUUUCCUUGAGACAACCAACAUACUUUGGAUGUUGAAGUGCUUCAUGCAUACUUUCCCCUUUCUCACACAGAAUAUUAAAAAGACAGACAGACAUGUACUACUCACAGAUUGAGAUUUAAUAAAAUUAAUAUUUUUUACUGCUCCAUCAAGGGCAUUCAUAUGACAAAUACACAGCAAUGAAGCCUACAAUGACUACCAGUAUAGUUUGGUGUGGUGGGGAGGAAAAACUUUUCCUCUACCCUCUUAGGUUCAGAAUCUGGGGGCCUGUGGAUUAAACAAACAAAAGACAGAUUUACAGGAGAAAAGCAUACAAUUUUUAUUAAUAUUUACAUGUAUGGGAGUUUACAGAAAAGAACUGAACCUCAAAGAAGUUAUUAGGGUUGAGAGCUUAUAUAUCAUUCUAACAAAGGAAAGGGGGUUUGAGCUUUGAGGAAUAGUAAACCAUGGGGAAGUGGCUAGGAAAUAUAUGAAGGAACUGAUGGAAGAUAAGGGUUAUUCUAGUAAGGUCUGUCUACAUAGACUCAUCUUUAUGUUCACUCUUCAUCUCCAGUGAUGAGUCCCUCCUCUCUUCCUGGUACUGAGGGAAACACCUCCGCAAAGGGAAAUCAAUGCCCUACUUUUAGGUAGAUAAAGCGAGGAUAAAGAACUCUACCUGCAUCUGUUGAUCCUCAGUUGCCUUCAGGUCACAAUAAUCCUUAUGCCAAAAUGGUAUACUUUGGGGUGGCAUAUCCUGAUCCCUUCGUGUGCCACUGCCUUAAUUUGUGCUAAGGCAUUAACAGAUUUACCCACCAUUCUUUUGAAUGAUCAGUCAAAUGAUAACAUAAUGAAAAGGGUAAAUAAUGUCUUAGUAUUAUUGUAACCGAGCAGGACCCUGUGGGGCCCUCCUGGGCACAAAAGCCUUUCUGUGAUCUGCCCCCCACCCUCACUCCUUGUUCCUUAUUUGCAGGAUAAAGGCUUCAGCCUCCUAGAUUUCCCUGAGUUCCAGGGAACAGAUUUAAACAGUUGCUAAUCAAGGAAGGAAGGGAAUGCAGAAACAAAGGAGGAGCAAUCAAGAAACUAUAGUGCAGCUAUUAAAGCAGGAUCCCGGUUCCUGCUCAAGGAAUAUACAUAACAGAAUCUUUGAUCUUCUACUGGGACUAAGGCCCCCACCCAGGUGGACGAUGGUAACUUCAGGCUGAGCACAAGAUUCCUGGAAAACCACCCUGUUACCUCACCAGCAACCAAUCUGAAGAACGCCACACCCUGCAGCCCCACCCCCAAAUUUUGCCUAUAAAUACUUCUCCCUGAAAACCAUCAGGGACUUCGCUGGGUUCUGAGCACAAGCCACCUGUCCCCCUUGCUUGGCCCUGCAACAAACCUUUCUUGGCUCUUCCAACUUUUUGGUUUGUUUGGCCUCAUUGUGUGUCGAGCACACCAACUUGCCUUUGGUAACAGGAGUCCUGUAUUUUUAUUUGCUCGAUCUGGCAACCUUAGGCAAGCCAUUACUCUUCAGCACCCCACGCAAGGUAAACCCCUUUUUAUAAACAAUGUCACCUCUGUCUUUGUUAGUCCUUGCCGCCUCCAUGGGAAGCUUAAACAGCUUACUGAAAUGAAUACUUUCAGUUCCCAAACUGCCCAGACACAGGGGACAGAGGCAAACCGUGGGCUGGGAUGGAUACUAGGGGUAAGGGCACGUCUCUUCCUGUAAAGGGUUGGGGGGGCUCUCCAUUUCAGCUUGGUCACAACCUCCUUUUAUUUAUUUAUUUUUGGCUGUGUUGGGUCUUCAUCGCUAUGUGCAGGCUUUGUCUAGUUUUGGCGAGCGGGGGCUACUUUUCAUUGCGGUGCACGGGCUUCUCAUUGCGGUGGCUUCUCUUGUGGAGCACAGGCUCUAGGCCUGCAGGCUUCAGUAGUUGUGGCACACAGGCUCAGUAGUUGUGGCUUGUGGGCUCUAGAGCACAGGCUCAGUAGUUGUGGCACACAUGCUUAGUUACUCCUUAGCAUGUGGUAUCUUCCCAGACCAGGGAUCGAACCUGCAUCCCCUGCAUUGGCAGGUGGAUUCUUAUCCACUGCACCACGAGGGAAGCCCACAACCUCCUUUCUUAAGCCACCUCUUCUCCCCACAGUCCCAUCAGUCCUCUCUCUAACCUUCCAGGACUGGUGUCUCUGCAAACUCUCCCCCCAUAAGACUGACCACCGCUCCCCACAGAGCACUGAAACCCAGCUCUACCUCCCAGACGGCCCCCUGGCCCAGGGCUCCUCUCUGAGAAGAAGACCACAGAGGGAGAGAUUUGGAUGAGGCGGCCCCAGCCAUGGGCCAGUCCCUAGGAGGGGCUGUGUGAAGUCAGACGCAGCAAACAUCUCCUGUUGUUGGGCACUGAUCUGGAAAAUAGCUGUGAUCAAAAUCAGAGCAGGACUCUUGUUCUUAGACCCCAGCUGCUACGCCGCAAGGAAGUCCAGGCGCACAGCAGCAUAGGUGGAGGUGCAGUGCCCACAGCCAGCAUCUGACUGCCACCACAUAAGAGACCCGAAAAGAGAACAGUCCAUCUUGAGUCCGGUCAAACUCCAGAACCGUAAGAGAUAACGAUAAAAUGAUUGUUCCUGUUUCACACCACUAAGUUGUGGGGUGGUUGGAAAUACAGUAGUGACUGGGACAUAUUCUAUCACAGGCUCCAUCCUGCACCAUGAGUAGCCUAGGACUCAUGUGUGUUGGCACCCCCAGAACGUCUGUUCAAACUCUCUACACUCUCCCUAUGUCCUCUUGCACAACAGCACCAUUGGCCAGCUCUCGGGAAGAUAAGGUGGGCAGAAACCAGUUCAGGUCUGGAAAGUGGGCUGGGGGCCUUGUAGGCAGGGGACCCAGAGUAUAGUCUAGAAUGGAGUGUGGCUUCUACUCUUGGUCCCAGUGGAGCAGGGAGGGCAGGACCAGAGUGAGGGCUUCUAAAGGCCAGCGCCCAGGCAGGGGCAGUACUGGCGGAGUACUUUAUAUCUACUGUCUCUUGUUCCUCCCCCAGCCCUGCCCCACUGGGCUCGUUGUCUUCGUUGCCCACAAGAACACAGAGGCUCACAGAAAGUCAGCCACAGGGCACAGGCACACCAGUAGCAGCCAAGGUCACAUGGUGGCCUUUGUCAUACCACAUGGCCCCCAAGGCCCUCCUUGGCUCCAAGACACUUGAUUGAGCAUUUCUCAGACAUACAGUCUACCUACCUUUGUUUAAAAACCAAACAAAACUGUACCCACUUUAGACUAAAACGGGAGGCCCGAGGAGCCUGAAAUAGGAGAACCCAGCCUUGACCGUGGGGGAUGAGGCCGGAACUCAGAGUGCUGGAGGCGUCCAGCUGCCGUCCAUCCAGGAGCCCAGUCCUGUUGGAGGUCACCAAACCAGCUGGUGGAGACUCAUUUAUCUCUGUAGCUCCCCACCAAAGGACCUCUUUAUCAGCCCAGUCUUUAAACCCGAUGUCCACCCCAAGGAGUGUCUUUUAAAACCGUUUGGCCUUGAGAAAGGCAGUCUGCCCCUUAUCUCUCUGUUUUGUUCUGUGUUGGCUUCCUGGUGGGUUAUCAGGGGGAGGCUUUGGUUUCUCCAUCUCCUGUUAUCUCCCUGCUGGCUUUCAAGGCUGCCCUCUCAGCAGCUCCUGGCCUGAGCUGGUGCCUUACCCUGCAGAGACUAGAGAACUGGCGGGGCAGGAGCCUUCCAGCCGGUCCUUCCUGAAUGCUAACUCCUGGAACUUGUCUGCCCCUCGUCCAGCUGCGCGCUCAGCAAGGCUGGCUGUGUGUCACUUAUGGCUUCUCCAGGGACAUAUGACAUCAAGAGGGCAAGCCCCAUGGAGCCUAGAUUUGGGGAGUUCACAGAGCAGCCACUUUUAGUUUUUUUAGGAAAACCAAUGUAGGCUUCUCACUUCACUUUUGUAUGUUUAUUUAUUUGCCAAAUACAUUACAAAAAGUAACUUCUAUUUCUUAAGAAAGGAUGAGGGGGAUUCCCUGGCGGUCCAGUGGUUAGGACUCUGUGCUCUCACUGCCAAGAGGGCCCGGGUUCAAUACCUGGUCGGGGAACUAGGACCCUGUAAGCCAUGCAGCGUAGCCAAAAAACAAACAAAAAACACCGCCCAAUAAUGUCAGAUUAAAAUGAUGGUGUCCCCCCACUCCCAGCCCUAUCCCCUGACAAGAAAGGAUGCUGGCAGCCUCAUAUAAUCCCUGAGGCCUGGGAAAACCUUGUCUGGGUUGCAUCAGCUCCUGGAUAGGUAUUAAGACCCAGAUCUGAGGAAACAAGGCUCUGGGAAUUCCACAGAGCUGCCAGGUCCUUGUACACAUAGGGCUGUUUCAUGGCCUGCAUAGCACCCUUGCCUGUGAGGCACCCCCAUCCCCUCCCUCACACUCACACUCAUGCUUCAGACACAGCCCAGGUGUCUCCUCCUCUAAGUAAGGCCUGCACUGUGGGUGUAGGAUGUGUGCGGUCACACAGGCCCUGUGCUGAGAAGGGCCCAGUGCUUGGUUUAAUGCUCUGCCAUCGCCAUCUCAAAAUCUGAGCAAAGGGCCUUGCAUUUUCAUUUUGCAUGGGGCCAUACAGGUUAUGUAGCCAGUCCUGCUUCCAUAACAUCUUUCUGAUGUCAUCUCUCACCCUAAGCUGAAUCUGGGGCCUCCACUGCACUCAGACAGUCCCUCUGCUCACUCCCCGAUCACUCUACGCUGAAAGCCCUACUCACUUAUCUGUCUCCCCACUAGACUCUGAACCCCCUGAGGGCUGGGGCAGAGUCUAUGUGAGUCCCACACCAUACUUAGUACAUGGCAGGUACUCAGUAAAUGUGUGUUAACAUAAAUAGUCGAGGGGAAGGCUUGGCCCAGUUCCUUAUGUGAUUCUGGCUAGAGCUGGGCUUUGACCCACUUCUCCUGCUUUGGGGCCAAGACAAUCUUCCCUGCCCUCUUGCUCUCCUGACCAGUGGCCAAAGGCCAAAACCAACCCAGACCAAAGCCAAACAUAAACUUGUUUUUCUGACCUAGGACCCAAAUUAAUGUAUUUUGUUUUUUCCCAAAGGUACUCACCAUUUUCUAGAAGAGUUAAAGCCAACUAAUCCAGACCGUCAGAACACCCUCAACUCUCCAGUGCUGGGUGGAGUAGAGUCAGAGUGAGGACCAAAAUACCACCCAAAGAGGACUAAGACUCCUGCUGGGCCAGAAGGGACUCAAACCAGGUCCCAGAUAUGAGGAACCAGUAAGCUGUGAACAAGGGGAGUGGCAAGUGCUGAGGCUAGAUUAUACAGGAGCAAAACAACCGAAGGGUAUAGCUUACACCAGUUCUGCCAAAUCCACCAUGCAAUCCCCUUACAGCCUUUCAUUCAUUCGUUCAUUCAUUCAUUCAACCACUCACGCAGGGGAUGUCUAGUGAGGAAGACUGACAGAUUCCAAUCUUUUUAAUGCUUAGGUUCCAAUCUUCUUUGGAACAAAGCAGAGUCUAUAAAUAAUAUGGGGGAAACAAGCCAUUGGUCCCCACCUGGCUCUCUGCACUGGACAGAGGUUCCACAGACGCACCUCCUGGGCUUUUACUGUCUUUAAAGGCAGCCCUCUCCUUAUUCUGGGACCCAGGCCCAAGCCAGUGGUUAUCUGAGCAUGCAACAGGCAGCACUGUGCUGUGCGCUGAACUUCCCCAACUUCCCCAGGGCCCCUCUCUCCUCCCUUAGCUGAGUUCUCACCCAGCUGCUCUAGGCCCCAUCUGAUUGGACCCUAGUGGAAGCCAGACCCGGAGCCACAAGGUCUCCUCUGCCUGCCCUGGAGGCCUGGGAGGUAGAACUGACCAUGCCUCCCCUCAACAAAUAUUUAAACACCCUCUGGGUGCCCAGCUCUGGGCUCAGGAGGGUGUAUCCAGCCCCAGGAGGGAAGGGAUCUGGUCUGCUUUCUAGAGCUCUGGUCCCCAUUGUGGGCACCCGAGAAAGAGGUGUUGAAGGAAUGAAUGGCCAGGCCUGGGCAGACUAACUUCUGGACAAAGUUGGGGCACAGAUGAUCAAUGCUUGGCUGGUCAGAGAGGGAAGAAGUCAGGAGUGUGGGAGAGGUGAAAAUAAAACGUUUCUAUUCUCUAAAUUCAAGAAAAGAAAAGACUUCUGGGGCCAAGCCCUAAGCCACGAACAGAUCCAUUUUAAACCUGGCAGAACCAUUGACAGCCUUACGGCAGUACGCUGAGAGCCAACCAAUCAGUGGUGGUCUCAUUCCAGUGACCACGCUUCUGAGAGCCAGCCAAUCAGCAACAGCCUUAUUCCCCAGCGCUACCGCUUCUGAAAGGCAACCAAUUCCUAAACUUUAAGGUUGAAAGUCAGCCAGUCUGCAAACAGUCUGGCUUCUGAAAGUCAGCCAAUUGCUGAACAGAAUGCUUUCCAUACCCUGUGUAAGAUCAGCUCUUGCGUUGCACAGAUUUUGUGCUUUCAUAGCAAGUACAGUUUUGUUUUUUUCUUUUUGCAAGUAAUAAAUACAGCUUCAUUGUUUCAUAUACAUAUGGGGUGGCCGGGGGAGACUUGCACUCAGAACACGUGUCCCAGUGUGACCGGCGGUUUCUGGACCUCUGGGCCACUUCUCCAUAAUCCUGUCCUCUUCUUUCCCCAGUGAUGUCUUAAGAACUGGGGAGAGAGAGUGUGUGUAUGGGGUAUCUUCACAAGAUCCUCUGUGGGACCCCACAGGUGGGGGAGCCGGGCUCAGCCUAAGGGAGAUCCACGGGCAGACACAGCCCAGCUCUCCCAGGGCUGCUCUGAAAGGGACACUGAUGGAUGGGGAGAUGACAUCACAUCUGAUUGGAGUGACAUGGUCUGAUGGAGAAGGCAGGACACCUAAGAGCAAUCAGCAAAACAACUCUGGAUCUCCCAAGUCUCACUCAGCCAGGCCCCUCUUCCUGGCCCAGGAGCCAGGUGAAAGCAGGACUGACGUCCAAAGGUCAUCUCUGCCCAGCAUCAGACCAAAGCACCACAGUCCCCUCAGGCUCUUCAGGGCUGGGCCUUACCUCCCUCUAGUGCCUCUUGGACCCAGGUGAGUGAUGGGUUUUCCUUCUCAAGGCCCAGACCUGCUUGCUGCUCAGGUGAGGCGUCUGGGGUUGAACCAAUAGACCUUGCCCCUCCCGUGCUGCUCACCUCUCCCAGAGAGAACUGCUUCACAACCAGGCACAGGAAGGGCGAGGCUGUGUCUGGGCACCCAUGGAUGGGCACCGAUAGGGAAUGGGGUUCAGUGACACUGCACAGGGGAGGUGGUGGGGGCCAGAAGGGAUCUUCCUGAGCCCUGGGAUUCUAUAAGUGGGGCUGCUCUGGGUGUGAGAUACAGGGGCCUAUUCAGAUGAGAUGCAAAUCAACCCUGCGGUGCCCCAGCCCAUCCCAGGGCCUCCCUUCACGUUCCUCCUGCCUGACUGUUGCAGGGAAGCCACGCUGGGGCUGAGCAGUCACUAAGGGGGCUGGGACCCUCAGCUUCACGCCGGGAGAGGUUCUUUCCCUCCUGCAGCCUCAGUUUGCCCACUUGAAUUAUGUCUAAGAGCUUGUUUCGAGUGAACUGAGGUCUAGGAGGCUGUCCAGCCAGAACUGGGUUGGGGUGGAGUAGAGGAUGGGGAGGUCUUGGAGGCCAGAGAAAGUAGGAAGCCAUCUUGGCCUUGAGGUGUAACAUCCCAGCAAUGUGGCCAGCCAACUUCUGGCUCAAGGGUGAGAGGAUGAGCCUGAGGGUGGUCGUGAGGGUGGAGACAGCUUGUGCUAUUGAUAUGCAAAGGUCAGGAUGGUGGACGCUGUAUACUCCAAGUGUAGGCAAUAAGCGGGGAGGGGGAUGUAUGCAGAGAACUUUAAAACAGUAACAGAAUAAAGUCUAUCCGCCUUUUAUUCUCCCAUGUGCUGGCAGUCCUAAACCCCGUCAGUGGCAAAAUACUCCCCUCUGAAAGUCUUCUAUUAGUUGAUUUUCUAAACAAUUAUUCCAAUUACUGUAAUUUUUAUAAUAAAUAAGCUUCAAAUUACCACUUUUACUGCAUAUUCAUCAAUAAAUGUUGGGUUCUACAGGAAAGCUCACUCAGAGAAUUCCCUGUUACACACAGGCCAGCCAAGCUCCAAGCACAGUUCAUUUGUCAUUCCUCACCGGGCCACCCCAUCUCCAGUCCCUGCAGCACAAAUUCCUGCAUUUAAACAGUGGAUUCUCAAUAAGCAAGGACAGCACAGUGAUUGUAAAGGCAAAGAAACAGAACUUGAGGGUUCUGUUUCCAUUCUGCCACGCUGUGUGACAGCUUGGAGGUCUUAUUUGUGAAAUUAGAGCCAAGUAGGAGGUGUAAUAUUUUUGUUUGAUAAAUGCAAAGGAGGGAAGUGUUAAAGAACGGUCCACCAUGAGUCAAAUGUGCUCAGUACGCCGCUGGCUCGUGCAGCUCUGCAGAGGGGGGACCAGGCAAGUUCUCUACCCUGGAGGACCUUGACGUCAUGGGGCAGGCUGCCUAAUCUGCAUAUCUAUCCGACCUACAGCCAAAUGUGAAGGGGUUGCAGAACCAGCAUAUAUUCACUAAACCUGUCAAGUAGCCACAUCCCUCGUAGAGGGAUGGCCUGGGGACUUUUGCAGCCCAGCAGUGGUGCCCCUCCCCCAUCCCAGCUUUAUUCACCUGUGGAUGAAGUUCCCUCGUGUAGCCUGCAGCCACCCCAUUGCCCCAGGUGGGAGGGGCGGAGGAUGGAAUGGCUCCAGCUUAGCCCUGAGCAAGCUCUGAUAAGGAGCAGAGGCCACCAGUGCCCCAGUCCUCAGCCAGGGACAAGAGUCUGGAAGGUGUCCUGAAAACCGACAGGUGCCCUCCAACCUAGGCCUGCAUCUCCCAUCCUCCCCACCCUCUCUCCUGUAAUGAGUGGAGGGGUACAAAAUCUACCACUGUGUCCUAAGGAUUAUUUUGAGCUGAAGAUAUUUGAGAAUCAACAGAUGCAGGAGGAGGCCUUUCUCUGAACCUCCCCUUAUCUGCCUAAAAGCAGAGCCUCCCAAAAGAAUUCACAUGUCAUAAAUUCCCUCCUGGGAGUUUCACAACCAGAGAAGACGGACUCCGGUCACCUGAGACCCGGAUAAGAAUUCACCUAAACAGACCUUAUCACAACACCUCUCACAUCUCCCAGCUAUUCUCCUAAGGGCCCACUUAUCUUUCCUAAAAGCUGUUUGUUUUCCCAUAAGUGCCCUUUCUCCUCUUUCCCUAUUAAGGUGGUAUAUAAUAUCUGAUAAGGGCUUAAUAUCCAAAAUAUACAAAGAACUCAUACAACCCAAAGCAAACGGAAAAUACCAAACAGUCCAAUUUAAAAAUGGUCAGAAGAACUGAAUAGAUAUUUUCCCAGAAAAGACAUACAAAUGGCCAAAAGGUACAUGAGAAGGUGCUUGGACAUCACUGAUCUUCAGGGAAAUGCAAAUCCAAAUCACAAUGAGAUAUCACCUCACAGUUGUUAGAAGGGCUGUCAUCAAAAAGACAAGAAAUAGGGCUUCCCUGGUGGCGCAGUGGUUGAGAGUCCGCCUGCUGAUGCAGGGGACACGGGUUUGUGCCCCGGUCCGGGAAGAUCCCACAUGCCGCGGAGUGGCUGGGCCCGUGAGCCAUGGCCGCUGAGCCUGUGCGUCCGGAGCCUGUGCUCCGCAAUGGGAGAGGCCGCAACAGUGAGAGGCCCGCAUACCACCAAAAAAAAAAAAAAAGAAGAAGACAAGAAAUAACAAGUGUUGGUGAGGAUGUGGAGGAAAGGGAGCCCCUGUACACUGUUCUUGGGAAUAUAAAUUGGUGGAAAACCGUCUAGAGGUUCCUCACAAAAUUAAAACAAAACUACCAUAAGAUCCAGCAAUUCCACUUCUUGGCAUAUAUCCAAAGGAAAUGAAAGUGAGAUUUUGAAGAGAUAGCUGCAGCCCCAUGUUCACUGCAGUGUUAGUCACAAUAGCCAAGACAUGGAAAUAAUCUAAGUGUCUAUCAACAGAUGAAUGGAUGAAGAAGAUGUGGUGUAUGUGUAUACACACCAUGGAAUAUAAUUCAGCUAUGAGACAGAAGAAAAUCCUGCCAUUUGUGACAGCAAGGACGGACCUCGAGGACAUUAUGCUUAAGUGGAAGAGAUGGCGAAAGAAAAAUACUAUACGAUAUCGCUUAUGCGUGGAAUCUAAAAAAGUUGCACUCGGGCUUCCCUGGUGGCGCAGUGGUUGAGAGUCCACCUGCCGAUGCAGGGGACGCGGGUUCGUGUCCCGGUCCGGGGGAAUCCCACAUGCCGCGGAGCGGCUAGGCCCGUGAGCGGCUGGGCCUGUGAGCCAUGGCCGCUGAGCCUGCGCAUCCGGAGCCUGUGCUCCGCAACGGGAGAGGCCACAGCGGUGAGAGGCCCGCGUACCGCAAAAAAAAAAAAAAGUUGCACUCAUAGAAACAGAGUGGAGUGGUGGUUGCCAGGGCCUGGGAGGGUGGAGGAAAUGGGCAGAUGAUGGUCAAAGCGUACAAACUUCCCUGUAUAAGAUGAAUAAGUUAUGGGGAGUCUACUGUAGAGCAUGAUGAUUAUAGUUAAUAAUGCUGUGUUACAUACUGAAAAGUUGCUAGGAGAGUAGAUCUUAAAUGUUCUCACCACAAAAAAAGAAAUGGUAGUUGUGUGACGUAAUGGAGGUGUUAGCUAACGCUGCAUGGUAAUCAUUUUCAAUGUAUGUGUCAACACAUUGUACACCUUAAACUUAUACAGUGUUAUGUCAAUUAUAUCUCAAUAAAGUCGGGAAACAAAAUAAGAUGGUAUAUAAGCCCCAAAUUCUAACUGCUUCUUUGAGCCACAUUUUCUGUGAGCUCCUUUGUAUGUAUGUAAAUGAACUUUUACCUUUUCUUAUGUUAACCUGUCUUUUGUUAGUUUAACUCACAGGUGCCCAGUCACUUAAUCUCAGUGGGCAGAGGAAAAGUUUGUCCUCCCCACCGUGAUUCUAAUAAAAAUAGUACUAAAAAUAAAAAUAUAUUGAGUGUGUACUGUGUGCCAGCCCUAUUAUAAAGCUUUAUAUGUGUUACCUAAUUUAAUCCUCCUCCCAGUAACCUUUUUUUUUCUUUUUUUCUUUUUUGCGGUACGCGGGCCUCUCACUGUUGUGGCCUCUCCCGUUGCGGAGCACAGGCUCCGGACGCACAGGCUCAGCGGCCAUGGCUCACGGGCCCAGCCGCUCUGCGGCAUGUGGGAUCUUCCCGGACUGGGGCAUGAACCCGUGUCCCCUGCAUCGGCAGGCGGACUCUCAACCACUGCGCCACCAGGGAAGCCCACUCCCAGUAACCUUUCUUUUUUUUUUUUUGCGGUGCGCGGGCCUCUCACCGCUGCGGCCCCUCCCGCUGCGGAGCACCGACUCCAGACGCGCAGGCCCAGCGGCCAUGGGCCACGGGCCCAGACGCUCCGCGGCACGUGGGGUGUUCCCGGACCGGGGCACGGAUCCGCGUCCCCUGCAUCGGCAGGCGGACUCCCAACCACUGCGCCACCAGGGAAGCCCCCCAGUAACCUUUUGAGGAGGCUCUGCGUAUUGCUGUGAAGAGCUUCAAAUGAGAUCUGAUGCAGAAUAACAUUGUAGGCAGCCACCACUGUUGAUGAGAGAGCAUCUGUACCAGCAAGUGCAUCACCACAGGCACCCACCUGGAGCUUAAGGUAUGAAGAAACAAGCUCAGAGAGGUAAUGGACUCACCCAAGACCACACAGCAGAACAGCUACUGAGUUCAAAUUUGGGCCUGUGGUCCUAGCUCUUAGGAGAGGCUCUUUAGAGCCACCUGUCCCCUGUCCCUUGCACAGUGCCUAGCACAGGGUUAUGAACUUCAAGACUAAACUGGGAUGAGGGGCUCAGGAGGAUAAGGCAGGAGGGGUGAGGGGGAAGGACCCAGAAGUCCCAACCCUACACUUUUGUCCUCUUUCAGGAUCCUCAUGGCCUGAGGCAGAGGCCUAGACGAAUGGGCGGCAGGACAGAAUGUUCUGGCAGCCACCGACUAGAUCAGAGGCACAAAUAUUUGCUAAGCCCAGGGGCCUCCCAGACAUGCUGGCAGGGUUCAGGGAAGCAAGUGUAUGGAGCCUCUUCCUGUGGAGCCGGGGAAUCCAGGAGAAGGAGAAGCCCCUCAGAGAGUCCUCCCUGACCCCAUUUGCCUUGUCACUUUUGUAUACAAGUCCCUCACACCCUCAAGUAUGUAAAGUCCAAUCACAAAGCACCUUCUCAGCUGUGAGCUGAAUCGGGAGGUGACCCCCAUUUUAUAGAUGAGGAAACUGAGGCCCACAGAGGGAGGAGAACACACCCAAGGGCUGGGAAAUGGGAGAGCCUGAAGUGGAGGCAGGAUGGUAAAGCUUACCCCCAACACCGACAUUCUCGAUCCUGCAUCUGGUCUGCUGCCCGGCCCUACUCAAGAACUGCCCUUGAACUUCACUGGCCUGGACUGUUACUUGCUAGUCCCCGACUGACCCCCAGACCCUCCUCUCUGGCCAGACCUCCCAUUCCCUCGCUUCUUACAGCUCCCGAGGGCUGCUCUCUCCCCAGGGGAACCUCCCCUCUCUUCUUACUUCCCAGCUCAGGGAGCACUUCCUAUCUCACACCCUCCUCAAAUCUUGACCCUCCUACCUUACCUAGCUCAGACCCAGCCUCCAGUCCAGGAAGCCCUCCUGGACUGCUCCUGUUCACAGGGCUCAUGCCCUCUCAGGAGUGGGGGCAUGAGGGGUCUGGGUCCUUCUCAGGAGUGGGAGUAAAACAGGGGUUUGAGGCCUAGUUGCAGUUCUGGCACCAGCUCACUGGGUGUUGUGGGGCUACCCUGUUCUCUCUGAGCCUCAGCUGCCUUAUCUGGACUCAGCUUGCCUGCCUCACCAGGGAACUGAGAGUAUGGGUGGGAAAACCUUGGCAGUGAGCACAGGUCACAGCUGCUGGAGUUCUUGUUGGCAUCAGCAGUACCCCAACCUUGGGCUCCAUCCAGACCCACUGUCAUCCAGCCACACACUGUCUCGACUUCUGCCUCUCCUCUGGGGGUGGGAGGCCUGAGUCUGGCCUGAGAGCUCAGCUGGGCUGGGUGCUGGGCACACAGGCACUCCACUGGCCCCAGCGAGCCAGGCCUGGGAAUGGGGCUGGAGGGGCUGCAGCUAGAGAGGUUGGAGGCCACCUUGAGUCCCAGCCCCUAGGCAGUCCUGCCCUUCAGUCCUCCAGGGUGUUAGCAACUUUUCCCAAUCAAGAGCAAACUCUAUCUCCAUGGCAGCAAAAUUAGGAAGGGCGCCCGAGAAAUACUGGAGGUUUUUUUCCUCCGGAGGCCGACUUUUGGAAGGCCCAAAGAAGCGCUUGCCACAAUGCCUAGAAUCAGAGACUGUCAUGGCGAUGCAUCAUAUGGAAGAAGCCUGCUCCCCAUCGUAGAAAUGAGGAGACUUGACACCUAGAGAGAUGCGGGGACUUGCUACCACUGUAGGGGAGACGCUAGUACGUUCAGGUAGACGGGCCGUCUUCUUGAAGUUGUGGGCAGAGCAAGCUCCCGCUUUUUACUUAGUUUUAAUGCUAUUCUGAGUUGCUUUGGGGGCUCAGGCCCUUUCAGAGUCACCCCUUUGGCACCGCCACUGCGUCGGGUCUUCAAACGUCUAAGACUGAAAGAAGACCAAAGACCUGUAUCUCAGUUCCGAGGCUCCGGACCCUCGGAAUCCCAAGGAGGAGGGAGCCUCGCUCGCCCGGCAAGGGGUAUGGGGGCUCCGCGGGGCGGGGCACGCCGGGGGCGGGGCCGAGGCAGCUAUGGCUCCACCCCCGGUAAACUCCGGACUCGGGUAAACAAGCCUAGGCGACGCCUGGGGCUUCGCCUACAAGCCGGGCGCCGAGUUACAUCACGGUUCCCGGGAGCUUCCCGCCCCGGCCGCCAGGUCCCCGCGGCCCUCGCUUGCCCGCCGCCUGUGUCCGAGGAGCAGUGGGCCGGCGAGGAGCCUCCCUCCCCGGGCCCCCCCAGGCCAGGAAGGCCUCCAGGUUUUCUCCGGAGGCCCCUGGGACUUCGUUGACACCGGUUCAGCUAGAGGGAAGGAACUACGCCGUGGCAGCACAAGAACUGCUCCCCAGUUUCCCCACCUGUGAAACCAGGGGGCUGCGUUAGGGUUCUGUGCCUCCCAGCUGGGGGAAGAAGAGGUGCGCCCUGAGCCCAGGGCGAGGGGCCGCCCCCGACCGAGCUGGCUGUGGCUUGGAGCCGGGCUUUCUACUUUAGCGGUGUAGUGGGUGCUCGCAAAGCCAGGUGUCCCAGAACGCAGACCCUCCCCUCCAAGGGGUCUGGGGGACCACUCAGCCGCGCAGAGCAAGGAUGACUCUGUAGUAUCCUAGCAUCUCCCUCUCCCGACUUGCUGUGGGACACCGACCCUCUGGGUAACAGGAAGACCUGCCCGCCACCCUCACAGCGGGUUUGUGCCAGCGCUUUGGAAAAGGUAUUGGGUUGCACAACCAGUGGGGGAGAUUGCCGCUCAAUAUCGACAGCUUGCACCUCGGAGCCUGAUCCGAGCAACAGGCUGCCUGAGGAGGCUGUGGGCCCCCGCCCCUGGGACACUCAAGCAGAGCGUGGGCCAGAACAGGUCACGGAGGCAGCAGAAGGGAUGCUUGCCCGAUCUCUAGGAGCUGCCCGGUCCCGGCACCCAGCGAUUUGGUGAUUCUGCACCUGCGCUGUCCAAUAAGGUAACCACUAGACACUUGUGCCCGUUGAACACUUGUAGUUUGGGGACUCACUUGGAACCCCAGAGUUGGCAUGAAGGUCAUUUUAAGCUGAAGAUAUUUGAGAUUCAGCAGAUGCAGAAAAAAGCCUCCUGGGAGCUUCUCUUAUCUGACGAAAAGCAGCAACUUCUGGGAAAACGAAGCUACCAUAAAUCCCCUCUCCAGGGGAGUUUCACGGCCCUGAAGAAGACGAGAGACCUUUCACACUUGUAUAGACAAAUAUUAUCACAAACUUUCUUAUGUUGGUUCUCCUAAAAACCCAUUUAUCAUUCCUAAAGAAAUCUAUUUUUUUCCCCAUAGAAGCUAUUAUUUCCCCCCAUUUUCCGUAAGUUAGGUUUGUAAACCUUUAACUUUAAUCAUUUAAUGAGCCAGUUACUUCCUUUGUUGGCUCCUGUGUGCAUAUGAAAUACACUUUUUUCUCCUGUUAA
Orcinus orca (killer whale) is the source of this 19919-nucleotide long non-coding RNA. RefSeq lists it as uncharacterized. The transcript has 6 exons. NCBI's taxonomy places the organism in Eukaryota, Metazoa, Chordata, Mammalia, Artiodactyla, Delphinidae. The record is from RefSeq and is a predicted model, not a curated record.